RNAcentral lists this long non-coding RNA (401 nucleotides) under Phascolarctos cinereus (koala). Its description in RNAcentral is "lncRNA (ENSPCIG00000036921.1)". The record is from RNAcentral. Lineage: Eukaryota; Metazoa; Chordata; Mammalia; Diprotodontia; Phascolarctidae.
AAAAUGGAUAUCAGCUAAUAAAAGCAUGCAGCAAGCCCUCCCACUGCCCCCCCCAUGGCCAUCCCCUCACAUCUCCCUUGGGCUCUAAUAGUGGGUUCCUAAUUGUUCUCCUAACCUUCAGUUUGUCUCUCUUCAGUCCAUCAUCUCCACAGCUGCCAAGAAUCAUCCAUCCGAAAUGAAUCUUCCAGACCUUGCCACCCUGGUGCAUAUGUAUUUUUUGAAUUCUCUGAAAUAAGAUGAAGAAAGCAAGACUCGUACAAGCCAGGAAGAGAAAAGAGCAAGGGAUUAGAGAGGGAGGGAUCCUCUCUAGCUGGGGGACCGCCAAAGAUGACUUGGAAGAGAUGGUGCCUGAGCAGAAAGAGGGUUACCCUGGGAGCCUGGAGACCUCUACCUCUAAUGGC